UACGUAGGGUGCAAGCGUUGUCCGGAAUUAUUGGGCGUAAAGAGCUCGUAGGCGGUGUGUCGCGUCGGCCGUGAAAACCUGGGGCUUAACUCUGGGCGUGCGGUCGAUACGGGCAUCACUGGAGUUCGGCAGGGGAGACUGGAAUUCCUGGUGUAGCGGUGAAAUGCGCAGAUAUCAGGAGGAACACCGGUGGCGAAGGCGGGUCUCUGGGCCGAUACUGACGCUGAGGAGCGAAAGCGUGGGGAGCGAACAGG
Molecule: ribosomal RNA, 254 nt
Filed under: uncultured bacterium
Lineage: Bacteria
Description: partial 16S ribosomal RNA
Rfam family: Bacterial small subunit ribosomal RNA
Source: RNAcentral